RNAcentral lists this ribosomal RNA (755 nucleotides) under uncultured Halomonas sp. RNAcentral's name for it is "bacterial SSU rRNA". It matches the Rfam family "Bacterial small subunit ribosomal RNA", at positions 28 to 774 of the family's 1533-position model. The record is from RNAcentral. Lineage: Bacteria; Pseudomonadati; Pseudomonadota; Gammaproteobacteria; Oceanospirillales; Halomonadaceae.
AUUGAACGCUGGCGGCAGGCCUAACACAUGCAAGUCGAGCGGAAACGAUGGAAGCUUGCUUCCAGGCGUCGAGCGGCGGACGGGUGAGUAAUGCAUGGGAAUCUGCCCGAUAGUGGGGGAUAACCUGGGGAAACCCAGGCUAAUACCGCAUACGUCCUACGGGAGAAAGCAGGGGAUCUUCGGACCUUGCGCUAUCGGAUGAGCCCAUGUCGGAUUAGCUUGUUGGUGAGGUAAUGGCUCACCAAGGCGACGAUCCGUAGCUGGUCUGAGAGGAUGAUCAGCCACAUCGGGACUGAGACACGGCCCGAACUCCUACGGGAGGCAGCAGUGGGGAAUAUUGGACAAUGGGCGAAAGCCUGAUCCAGCCAUGCCGCGUGUGUGAAGAAGGCCCUCGGGUUGUAAAGCACUUUCAGUGGGGAAGAAAGCCUUGGGAUUAAUACUCCCGAGGAAGGACAUCACCCACAGAAGAAGCACCGGCUAACUCCGUGCCAGCAGCCGCGGUAAUACGGAGGGUGCGAGCGUUAAUCGGAAUUACUGGGCGUAAAGCGCGCGUAGGCGGUCUGAUAAGCCGGUUGUGAAAGCCCCGGGCUCAACCUGGGAACGGCAUCCGGAACUGUCAGGCUAGAGUGCAGGAGAGGAAGGUAGAAUUCCCGGUGUAGCGGUGAAAUGCGUAGAGAUCGGGAGGAAUACCAGUGGCGAAGGCGGCCUUCUGGACUGACACUGACACUGAGGUGCGAAAGCGUGGGUAGCAAACA